Molecule: ribosomal RNA, 253 nt
Filed under: uncultured bacterium
Lineage: Bacteria
Description: partial 16S ribosomal RNA
Rfam family: Bacterial small subunit ribosomal RNA
Source: RNAcentral
GACGUAGGGCGCGAGCGUUGUCCGGAUUUAUUGGGCGUAAAGAGCUCGUAGGCGGCUUGUUGCGUCGACCGUGAAAACCCGGGGCUCAACUUCGGGCUUGCGGUCGAUACGGGCGGGCUAGAGUUCGGUAGGGGAGACUGGAAUUCCUGGUGUAGCGGUGAAAUGCGCAGAUAUCAGGAGGAACACCGGUGGCGAAGGCGGGUCUCUGGGCCGACACUGACGCUCAUGCACGAAAGCGUGGGGAGCAAACAGG